Molecule: unclassified non-coding RNA, 228 nt
Filed under: uncultured fungus
Lineage: Eukaryota; Fungi
Description: sequence contains ITS1, 5.8S rRNA gene
Rfam family: 5.8S ribosomal RNA (bases 180-228)
Source: RNAcentral
UCUCCGUAGGUGAACCUGCGGAGGGAUCAUUACUGAGUGAGGGCCCUCGUGGUCCGACCUCCAACCCAUUGUUGUCCGACUCUGUUGCCUCGGGGGCGACCCGGCGCUUCGGCGGUGCGGCGCCCCCGGAGGCCAUUAAACACUGCAUCAUUGCGUCGGAGUUAAAGUAAAUUAAACAAAACUUUCAACAACGGAUCUCUUGGUUCCAGCAUCGAUGAAGAACGCAGC